UUUUAAUUAAUAGACUGUUAAAUGCACUUCACUACAUAGAUGUUUCAGAGAUUUUAAUGGGAUGCCGAUUAGUGUGGAUGUCGGCGUGUCCUGUCCAGAAGCCUGAGGACUAGACUAAAUACUGUAGGUCCACCUUACAGUUCGUUACUGAGCCAGUGGCCUUGGUUUUACAGCGGUGAUGUAGCAGAAACCGUGUGUCUUCUGGUCAGAGCUGGUGUUGGCCUUGGUCAGACUAUGUUCCUCCUAAUUUUCAGGCGUGUUACCAGGCUUCGACUUCCACUAAUAAACCAGAAACUGGACAGAUCUGCCUUUCUGGAAUUAAGUUUCUUGAAUGUUGCUUUUAACGCAAACAUACAAAACGGUGAUUGUUUACAAAGCUGACACAACGGUGCUAGAUUUUAUUUUUAUCUUCGUGCCUCUCUUUCAAACAGUAACCCAUCCCCUUAAUUUCCGGUGCAUUAAUUCUUUUGCACAGCAAAGUUGGUGAAGCAUUUUUGUUAUUUUACCAACCGCUUGUCGUGCGCAAUGAAACCUGGCAGCACAUCAGGUCUCACAUGGCUGAAGCUGAUCUACAUCACAUUACUCUCAGUUUCAGAGGCACAACAACUCCAAGUCUGGUCUGAAGUGACCGGAUACCUUGGGCUGGAUGUCACUCUGCUAUGCCAGUUCAUCAAAGGAAGCAACCACACCAUUAGUCAGGUUCAGUGGUAUAUUCUGCAACCAGGAGGAUAUAAAACCUCCAUUCUUGUUUUUAACACAGUGCUUGGACUGAAUAUUCAUGAAUCUCCUCUGAAGGGGAGAGUGAAUAUUUCAGAACAAUCUUUGAUCAUUAGAAAUGUGGAAAUGAGCGAUGCAGGAUUGUACUCCUGCUCUGUUACAACCUUUCCCAGUGGUUCACUUGAAAAAUCAACCAACCUUAUUGUUCGAGAACAGAAGCUGUUAUCAUCAGGGGAGAUCUCUGCUAU
This is a long non-coding RNA of Monopterus albus (swamp eel), 965 nucleotides long. RefSeq lists it as uncharacterized. Lineage: Eukaryota; Metazoa; Chordata; Actinopteri; Synbranchiformes; Synbranchidae. The transcript has 3 exons. The record is from RefSeq and is a predicted model, not a curated record.